RNAcentral lists this ribosomal RNA (179 nucleotides) under Mycoblastus affinis. Its description in RNAcentral is "partial 18S ribosomal RNA". Lineage: Eukaryota; Fungi; Ascomycota; Lecanoromycetes; Lecanorales; Mycoblastaceae. The record is from RNAcentral.
AGCUGCUGUACGCUGAUCAAGCGUGCCGCCCACAGAUCAAACACGAGUGACUGUCUCCUUUUCCCUUUCGAAAGUCUUACUCCUUUCGAAAGUCUAUAGCGAGUCGGUUAAGAUAUGACCGUAGCAGCUCCGCAAGGAGGUGAUAAAAACUAGUUCCGUAGGUGAACCUGCGGAAGGAU